Molecule: ribosomal RNA, 435 nt
Filed under: uncultured Oscillospiraceae bacterium
Lineage: Bacteria; Bacillati; Bacillota; Clostridia; Eubacteriales; Oscillospiraceae
Description: bacterial SSU rRNA
Rfam family: Bacterial small subunit ribosomal RNA
Source: RNAcentral
ACGGAAGGCAGCAGUCGGGAAUAUUGCACAAUGGAGGAAACUCUGAUGCAGUGACGCCGCGUAUAGGAAGAAGGUCUUUGGAUUGUAAACUAUUGUCGACAGGGAAGAAAUUUGACAGUACCUGUGGAGGAAGCUCCGGCUAACUACGUGCCAGCAGCCGCGGUAAUACGUAGGGAGCGAGCGUUAUCCGGAUUUAUUGGGUGUAAAGGGCGCGUAGACGGUAUAGCAAGUUGGAUGUGAAAUCCCUAGGCUCAACUUAGGAACUGCAUCCAAAACUGUUUUACUUGAGUAUGGGAGAGGAAAGCGGAAUUCCUAGUGUAGCGGUGAAAUGCGUAGAUAUUAGGAGGAACACCAGUGGCGAAGGCGGCUUUCUGGACCAAAACUGACGUUGAGGCGCGAAAGUGUGGGGAGCAAACAGGAUUAGAUACCCUGGUA